Long non-coding RNA from Salvia splendens (bonfire salvia), 333 nucleotides. RefSeq lists it as uncharacterized. The transcript is spliced from 3 exons. The record is from RefSeq and is a predicted model, not a curated record. NCBI's taxonomy places the organism in Eukaryota, Viridiplantae, Streptophyta, Magnoliopsida, Lamiales, Lamiaceae.
AUGGGUUAAGACACUAAUGAUUGGAUAAAUGGUUCAUAUAUGAAAUUUUGCCAAAGAAGGAAGGCCUAAACUAAACUGAGAAUCUGAGAUCAGAAAUCAGAACCGCCGCGCCGCUUGUCUCUCCUUUUACUAUGCUCUAAUUCUUCUUCCCAAUUCCUUCGAGUGAAUUUUUCCUGAUGGAGGCCAAGUUCUUUCCGCUUUCUUAAGAUUGUUGGAGUUGGUUUCAAAGCAAGAGCAGAGGCCGAAGGCCGUCUCCUAUACCUAAAACUUGGCUAUAGCCAUGAGGUGGAACUGGCUGUGCCUCCUGCAGUUCGCGUAUUCUGCUUCAAAAAA